AUGGGCAUUCAUUACUUUUCUCAUACCUAUCAUGUUUCUUGUGGGAAGACUCGUGACCAUGUCAUGGGCUAUAUGCAUUGUUUUCAACUACUUCCUUUGGCUAAGAGUGGUUGAAUGACAUUUAAUGGACUAUUCUAUUCUCAUGAAUGUUUGAAACUUUGGCUAUAAAUAUACUUUUAUUUCAUCAAAGUCGCUUGGUGACGAUCAUAUAGCUCAAUUUUUAGUCAUAUGAUAUCAAUAUGUAGCAAGGCUACGUGUCGCCAUCCACCCUACGUGUACAUGUAAUUUUGAGUGUU
Molecule: unclassified non-coding RNA, 296 nt
Filed under: Hevea brasiliensis (rubber tree)
Lineage: Eukaryota; Viridiplantae; Streptophyta; Magnoliopsida; Malpighiales; Euphorbiaceae
Source: RNAcentral